CAACCUGAGAGUUUGAUCCUGGCUCAGAACGAACGCUGGCGGCAGGCCUAACACAUGCAAGUCGAACGAGAAGCCAGACUUCGGUUUGGUGGAAAGUGGCAGACGGGUGAGUAACGCGUGGGAAUCUACCCAGUGGUACGGAAUAACUCAGGGAAACUUGGGCUAAUACCGUAUGAGCCCGAAAGGGGAAAGAUUUAUCGCCAUUGGAUGAGCCCGCGUCUGAUUAGCUAGUUGGUGGGGUAACGGCCUACCAAGGCGACGAUCAGUAGCUGGUCUGAGAGGAUGAUCAGCCACA
RNAcentral lists this ribosomal RNA (295 nucleotides) under Bauldia sp. RNAcentral's name for it is "partial 16S ribosomal RNA". It matches the Rfam family "Bacterial small subunit ribosomal RNA", at positions 1 to 312 of the family's 1533-position model. Lineage: Bacteria; Pseudomonadati; Pseudomonadota; Alphaproteobacteria; Hyphomicrobiales; Kaistiaceae. The record is from RNAcentral.